Molecule: long non-coding RNA, 1786 nt
Filed under: Equus asinus (donkey)
Lineage: Eukaryota; Metazoa; Chordata; Mammalia; Perissodactyla; Equidae
Description: lncRNA (ENSEASG00005038743.1)
Source: RNAcentral
AUGAACAGAGUAUAAUUUAUGUAUUCAUUCUAGUGUCGGUGGAUAUUUGUGCUGUUUCUACUUCUGGGCUAUUGAGAUUAGUACUAUUAUGAAUAUUCUUUCAGUCAACAUAUAUUUAUAUUUGUUGGACAGAUACCUAGAAUUACACAGUCAAAAUUUACAGUAUGUUCAGCUUUAGCAGAGUUUAUUUCCGAAAGCACACAAUUUACACUCCCACCAAACUUGUAUUGAGUCCCAGUUGGUUCAUAUCUUCAUCAUCAGUUGGUAUUUUAAUCAUUUUAACCAUUCUGGUGUGUAGUGGUAUUAAAUUUUUGUUCUAAUUUGCCUUUUCUUGAUGACAAAUGAAGCUGAACAACUUUUCAUACAUUUACUCACCAUUUAAAUAUACCUUUGUGAAUUAUGUUCAAAUUUUCUGCUUUUUUUUUUUCCUUCUUCCUCUUCUCCCCAAAGCACCCCAGUACAUAGUUAUAUAUUCUAGUUGUGAGUGCCACUGGAUGUGCCAUGUGGGACACCACCUCAGCACGGCUCGAUAAGCAGUGAGACAUCCGUGCCCAGGAUCCAAACUGGCGCAACCCUGGACCACCGAAGUGGAGCGUGCAAACUUAACCACUCGGCCACGGGGCUGGCCCCUCUGACUUUUUAUUGUAGUUCUUUAUAAAUGCAGUAUAAGAGUCCUUGGUUAAAUACAUACAUUGCAAUUGCCUUCCCCCAGUCUAUGGCUGACUUUUAACUCUUGUGUUUUUUUGUUUUUUGAACAAAUAGCAGUUCUUAAUUCUAAUGUGGUCAAAUUCUCUGUUUUUGUUUCUUGUUUAAGGUGACUUAGCUAAGGUCAUGAUGUUCACCUAUAUUUUCUUCCAAAAUCAUUAUUGUAUUACCUUUCACAUUUAGAUGCAUAAUCCACAUGAAAUUGAUUUUUGUGUAUGGUGAUGGUUAUAGUCAAAAUACAUUGCUCUUGUGAAUAUUGAGGGCCAAUUAACCCAACAUCAUUUACCAAGAACACCAUCUUCUCACCACAAUAUUACAGUGUCACCUUUGCCACAUAUCAAUAUGUUUGGGCCUGUUUCUAGACAUUGUGCAUCCUUGUACUUAUACCACAGUCCUCAUAUCUGGCUAUCUAAAUCUUGCAGCUUUAUUUUUCUAUUUUCAGAUUACCUUAGCUAUGGUCAUUGCAUCUGCAUAUACAUUUUAAAGUCAGACUUGUUAAUUUCCAAGAACAAAACUUGCCAGUGGAUAGCAAUUAGGGUUGCACUGAAUCUACCAUUCAAUUUGGGGAGAAAUGAGGCUUCAAAGUCAUCAAAACAGUAAGGAUACUUUUCCUUUAUUUUGGUUUUUAAUGUCUCUGAAUUUUGUGAUGUAGUUUUUGGACUUCUAGAACUUACUGUUUUAGUGCUACUGUAAAUUUAACAGGAAUUUAACACAGUAUUUAAAGUGAACAUCUUGGUAAAAUUGAUAAAUGUGCAUAACCAUCACUGCAAUAAAGAUGGUGAACCUAGCCAUCACUUGCAGGGAUCACUGCCCUUUAUUGCCUGAUGUCUACUGACUUGAAAACAAUUAUUUCCUCUAUUUUGUCAGUUUUCUUUUUUCCUGGUUUUUUCAGGCAGGAGGGUAAAUCUGGUCUCUGCUACCCUAUCCUAGGUGGAUACAACUGUCCUCGUAUCACUUAAUUUUCAUAUUUGCUGUUUAUACAUAAAAAUACAAUUUUUCUACAGUCAGUUUGUUAAACUCACUUAUUUCUAAUAACUUCUCCAUAGGUUUUCUUUGACUUUUCUAUGUAUACAAUGAUAUC